CUUUCCAACAACAUAUGAGGAAGGCUUCCAAAGAUAUCUACAUUGAAGUUUCUCCUGGCACCUAUUCUAUCACGGCAACCUCAGAGGACAUGGUGAAACAGACCCACGUGGUAGAUGUCAGUGCAGGACAGAGUGUUGAUUUAACUUUUGUUCUAUGAUGUUUGUUGUUUCUCGGUAAUCAUGGGAAUAAAAUUCCAGGCUUUUAAGGCAUAUAGUGAACUAUACAUAUCUUUUCCUCUUUUAGCACUUUAACAGUAUUCUGUACUUUGGGUCUGCAUUUUUAUACUCAUAUACACUUGUUUUAUACUUAAUGCAAAUAUAUAUAUUAUAUACAGCCCACUUUGUACACUUUGUACAUUGAUUUUUAUAAAUACUUGUACAUCGUGUGCCUUAUUUCCAAUUAUGUGACUGUGUGAUUCCAAUUAAAGAUGCAAUCACUGGACUAAAACA
Molecule: non-coding RNA, 450 nt
Organism: Tinamus guttatus (white-throated tinamou)
Lineage: Eukaryota; Metazoa; Chordata; Aves; Tinamiformes; Tinamidae
Source: RefSeq, a predicted model, not a curated record